RNAcentral lists this ribosomal RNA (433 nucleotides) under uncultured bacterium. Its description in RNAcentral is "partial 16S ribosomal RNA". It matches the Rfam family "Bacterial small subunit ribosomal RNA", at positions 29 to 507 of the family's 1533-position model. The record is from RNAcentral.
AACGAACGCUGGCGGCAUGCCUAACACAUGCAAGUCGAACGAGACCUUCGGGUCUAGUGGCGCACGGGUGCGUAACGCGUGGGAACCUGCCCUUAGGUUCGGAAUAACUCCCCGAAAGGGGUGCUAAUACCGGAUAUUGUCUUCGGACCAAAGAUUUAUCGCCUUUGGAUGGGCCCGCGUUGGAUUAGCUAGUUGGUAGGGUAAAAGCCUACCAAGGCGACGAUCCAUAGCUGGUCUGAGAGGAGGAUCAGCCACACUGGGACUGAGACACGGCCCAGACUCCUACGGGAGGCAGCAGUGGGGAAUAUUGGACAAUGGGCGAAAGCCUGAUCCAGCAAUGCCGCGUGAGUGAUGAAGGCCUUAGGGUUGUAAAGCUCUUUUACCCGGGAUGAUAAUGACAGUACCGGGAGAAUAAGCUCCGGCUAACUCCGUG